UUCAUGCCAUCAUGCCUCAAUUUCAUUACCCCAUAGUAUGGGGCAAGAUGGUUUUUCAUGUUAAUUAUUAAAAAGUGUGAUAUGCUGUUUCUCCAAAGACUGUACCAAAUCAUAGUUAGAUAAAUGACAUAACGUGCUAUAAAGUAAUAAUUACGAACCCAAAAACCACUCAUAAAGACCUGAUUAUAGAAAAUACUUUGAAAUUUGAAUCUACUAAUUAAUAAAUUUCCAAACAAAAAUUAAAUUCACUAAUAAUAAACUGAACACUGGUGGGAGUAAUUAUUACACUAAUUAAGACGACAAAUGAAAGGAAAUCACUUAAGAAGAAACCAAAACAAAAUAAGAUAAAAAAUGAUACACACAAAGAAUGAAUUGGGAUUAUUUGCCAAACGAAGUCAAAAAGUGUAAUGAAAAAAAAAUUUUUAAAAAAUCGAAAUGAAAAAAGCAGACUAUGAGGACAAUUCAAAAUAUUACCAUAAAUUGAGAUACAAGAGGAUUCAGUAUCCUCACAUACCUGAUAAAAAGCCAAUCAAAAAUAAAAGAAUAAUUAAAAAAAAUAUACUGACCAACUCAUAACCCUCGCAUCAUCUGCAG
Long non-coding RNA from Diorhabda carinulata, 594 nucleotides. RefSeq lists it as uncharacterized. Lineage: Eukaryota; Metazoa; Arthropoda; Insecta; Coleoptera; Chrysomelidae. The transcript is spliced from 3 exons. The record is from RefSeq and is a predicted model, not a curated record.